AGUGAACGCUGGCGAUAGGCCUAACACAUGCAAGUCGAACGGCAGCACAGUAAGAGCUUGCUCUUACGGGUGGCGAGUGGCGGGCGGGUGAGGAAUACAUCGGAAUCUACUUUUUCGUGGGGGAUAACGUAGGGAAACUUACGCUAAUACCGCAUACGACCUACGGGUGAAAGCAGGGGAUCUUCGGACCUUGCGCGAUUGAAUGAGCCGAUGUCGGACUAGCUAGUUGGCGGGGUAAAGGCCCACCAAGGCGACGAUCCGUAGCUGGUCUGAGAGGAUGAUCAGCCACACUGGAACUGAGACACGGUCCAGACUCCUACGGGAGGCAGCAGUGGGGAAUAUUGGACAAUGGGCGCAAGCCUGAUCCAGCCAUACCGCGUGGGUGAAGAAGGCCUUCGGGUUGUAAAGCCCUUUUGUUGGGAAAGAAAAGCAGCAGGUUAAUACCCCGCUGUUCUGACGGUACCCAAAGAAUAAGCACCGGCUAACUUCGUG
This 492-nucleotide ribosomal RNA is filed under the name uncultured bacterium. RNAcentral describes it as "partial 16S ribosomal RNA". It matches the Rfam family "Bacterial small subunit ribosomal RNA", at positions 29 to 507 of the family's 1533-position model. The record is from RNAcentral.